Molecule: ribosomal RNA, 444 nt
Filed under: uncultured bacterium
Lineage: Bacteria
Description: bacterial SSU rRNA
Rfam family: Archaeal small subunit ribosomal RNA
Source: RNAcentral
UAGCUCAGUAUACGUGGAUAUCUGCCCUAUGGCGGAGGAUAACCCCGGGAACUGGGGAUAAUACUCCAUAAGUCAGGAGUACUGGAAUGUCUCCUAACUGAAAGUUUCGGCGCCAUAGGAUGAAUCUGCGGCCGAUUAGGUAGUUGUUGGGGUAACGGCCCAACAAGCCCGUAAUCGGUACGGGUUGUGGGAGCAAGAGCCCGGAGAUGGAAUCUGAGACACGAUUCCGGGCCCUACGGGGCGCAGCAGCGCGAAAACUUUACAAUGCAGAAACUGUGAUAAGGGACCCCGAGUGCCGUACACGCGGGCUGUCCCGGUGUUUAAACACAUCGGAGAAGGGCCGGGCAGACCGGUGCAGCCGCGCGGUAAUACCGGCGGCUCGAGUGUGACCACUUUAUUGGGCUAAAGCGUCGUAGUUGAUUUUAGUCUCUGGGAAUCUCACGG